Molecule: long non-coding RNA, 211 nt
Filed under: Elaeis guineensis (African oil palm)
Lineage: Eukaryota; Viridiplantae; Streptophyta; Magnoliopsida; Arecales; Arecaceae
Description: long non-coding RNA (EGUI_LNC082308)
Source: RNAcentral
AAACGGAGUCGGAGAGAUGUGCGGAGACCAACAGCUCGCUCGCUGAUGCUUUCAGAUCUCCGCUCAAAGCGAUGAGUUGAAGGGCUCCCUAACGAUCGACAAGCUAGACCAACGGGAGGAGGAAGAACGGGGUUCACCAGCCGAACAGCUUGUUCCCAUCUCAAUAGCGGAGAAUCCCGACCGAAAGAUAUGGGUCGGGUCUCAACUACCC